RNAcentral lists this long non-coding RNA (485 nucleotides) under Scleropages formosus (Asian bonytongue). RNAcentral describes it as "lncRNA (ENSSFOG00015027697.1)". Lineage: Eukaryota; Metazoa; Chordata; Actinopteri; Osteoglossiformes; Osteoglossidae. The record is from RNAcentral.
AUGGAGAGAGUUGAUAGACAGGACUGCCAUGUAUUUGUGAACACCCGAGGCUUAAUGUACCCUAGACUGCCGGUAUUCUUGUGUUCCAUCCAGCAAAAUAUGUUGCGCGGCACAAAGAAGAGUGAAAGUAUUAAAUUCUUCCCCAAGUGUUCUCCGAAGGCCCAGAAUUCAGAGCUGCCGCUAAAGGGCACGGCAGCUCCUCCGAUUCUCAUUCUCGCCGAGUUCGAAUCGUCCUUUACGUGAGGAUCGUCGCUCCGGAUCCAUCCGGGAGCCUCGCAACAGCCCGUCGUGUUCGUCGUCCCCGGUUCGGGACCAUCUUUCUUAGACCGAGCCUGGGCCCGUGUUACGGUGAAGGCAGAUCGAGCAGGAGCUCGACGUUCGAGCGUCUAACCCUACCCACGAAGGCGCCGAAAUCGCGGAGGAAAUCUUUGCUUUUGCGCUCCGUGGUAGCCAGCUCAUUUCAAGGUACAUUGCGCGGAGAGGGA